RNAcentral lists this ribosomal RNA (434 nucleotides) under uncultured bacterium. RNAcentral's name for it is "partial 16S ribosomal RNA". It matches the Rfam family "Bacterial small subunit ribosomal RNA", at positions 29 to 507 of the family's 1533-position model. The record is from RNAcentral.
AGCGAACGCUGGCGGCAGGCCUAACACAUGCAAGUCGAACGAACCUUUCGGGGUUAGUGGCGGACGGGUGAGCAACACGUGGGAACGUGCCUUUAGGUUCGGAAUAACUCAGGGAAACUUGUGCUAAUACCGAAUGUGCCCUUCGGGGGAAAGAUUUAUCGCCUUUAGAGCGGCCCGCAUUUGAUUAGCUAGUUGGUUGAGGUAAUGGCUCACCAAGGCGACGAUCAGUAGCUGGUCUGAGAGGAUGAUCAGCCAGAUUGGGACUGAGACACGGCCGAAACUCCUACGGGAGGCAGCAGUGGGGGAUCUUGCGCACUUGGCGAAAGCCUGACGCAGCCAUGUCGCGUAAAUGAUGAUGGUCUUAGUAUUGUUCAUUUCUUUCGCCGGGGACGAUAAUGACGGUACCCGGAGAAGAAGCCCCGGCUAACUUCGUG